UUUAUACUUCUGUUUUAGACAAUGGACGUUUUCAUGAAGGAAAAAUUGCAACAGUAGAAUUUCUGCCUGUUAAUUGAAACAUUUCAAGGCCUUCGUGACAAAAUUGUCUUUAAAACUCUUCCUGCCAUCUGCACUAUACCAUACAAAUGGAAAAAUGGUGUGCGCAUCAUACACGAAAAUGAAGCGGUCCUUCAUUGAUAUUCAACCUGUUGACUAAUUAGUGCUGCACUUGAAUCAUGAGACAAGCCAGCAUCCACAUGUCCUGGUGCUUGGUGACAAGGAAAACUCCUCCCAAGUUUUUUAUUAUUUUAAACGGGGAGGCG
Long non-coding RNA from Carassius auratus (goldfish), 323 nucleotides. RefSeq lists it as uncharacterized. NCBI's taxonomy places the organism in Eukaryota, Metazoa, Chordata, Actinopteri, Cypriniformes, Cyprinidae. The transcript is spliced from 3 exons. The record is from RefSeq and is a predicted model, not a curated record.